UGUUGUUCUUCGGCUUCAUUUUGGCCCUAACUAUGUUUAGCAAUCCCAUGAGUCGUAAAUUUAGUAAUGCCAUUGAUUGGUUUUAUAUGAUUGCUCUGAUCUUCGGCUGUGUUUCUGGAGUAACUUUACUGUAUGCUGCAAAUAGGCAAAAGCGCAGGCUCUUGAGGAUUUUCGUCUAUAUAGGGAUCCCAACCAUGUUGGCCCUUGAUGCUAUGAAUAUCUUUAUGGUGGUCACUCAAUGGAAAUUCAUACCGGUAUACCCAAAUGUUUUGAGCAUUAUAGAAACAAUUCUCACGACAUAUUUAAUGGUGUGUGCACUUUUUGUAGCGCAGAAGUAUAUGCGUAAACUUUCCCGUGACCGAAUAAAUCAAGCCGUACGAUCCGAAUCGUAAGAAAACUGCAUUGGGCUGGAAAUUGAAGGGUUGUAUUCCUUCUAAAUUAAGCCGGAUCAUUUCGAGUCCUUUUUCCUUUAUUAUUAUACCAAAAGGAUAUGUAUAGGAAACAAAAUUAUCUAAUGGAAAGCCAAAUUCUGGUGUGGAUUUGGAUAGUGAUAAUGCUCGCAGUGAUUGUGGCAACCACUGUUUUCGAGAUUGUCAGGCUGUGCAAAGGUUGGAACUCCCUAGGUGACAGAACGAAAACCUAUGAAAUUAUUUUCAUAAUAGUUGCCCCAUGUGAGCUGACUGAAUGGCAAUAAACGGCUCAUUGGUUUUACAAGCUUU
Molecule: RNA transcript, 719 nt
Organism: Drosophila biarmipes
Lineage: Eukaryota; Metazoa; Arthropoda; Insecta; Diptera; Drosophilidae
Exons: 4
Source: RefSeq, a predicted model, not a curated record